RNAcentral lists this ribosomal RNA (253 nucleotides) under uncultured bacterium. RNAcentral's name for it is "partial 16S ribosomal RNA". It matches the Rfam family "Bacterial small subunit ribosomal RNA", at positions 524 to 776 of the family's 1533-position model. The record is from RNAcentral.
UACGUAGGGGGCAAGCGUUGUCCGGAAUUAUUGGGCGUAAAGAGCGCGUAGGCGGCCAGAUAAGUCCGCUGUGAAAUCUCGAGGCUCAACUUCGAGCUGUCGGUGGAAACUAUCUGGCUAGAGUCCGGAAGAGGAGAGUGGAAUUCCUGGUGUAGCGGUGAAAUGCGCAGAUAUCAGGAAGAACACCCGUGGCGAAGGCGGCUCUCUGGGACGGUACUGACGCUGAGACGCGAAAGCGUGGGGAGCGAACAGG